GCUUGUCUCAAAGAUUAAGCCAUGCAUGUCUAAGUAUAACUCUUUUACUUUGAAAACUGCGAACGGCUCAUUAUAUCAGUUAUAGUUUCUUUGAUAGUACUUACUACUUGGAUAACCGUGGUAAUUCUAGAGCUAAUACAUGCGAAAAGACCCGACUUCUGGAAGGGUUGUAUUUAUUAGAUAAAAAACCAAUGGGGGCAACCUCUUUGUGGUGAUUCAUAAUAACUUUGCGAAUCGCAUGGCCUUGUGCCGGCGAUGAAUCAUUCAAAUUUCUGCCCUAUCAACUUUCGAUGGUAAGGUAUUGGCUUACCAUGGUUGCAACGGGUGACGGGGAAUUAGGGUUCGAUUCCGGAGAGGGAGCCUGAGAAAUGGCUACCACAUCCAAGGAAGGCAGCAGG
RNAcentral lists this ribosomal RNA (398 nucleotides) under uncultured Choanoflagellida. RNAcentral's name for it is "partial small subunit ribosomal RNA". It matches the Rfam family "Eukaryotic small subunit ribosomal RNA", at positions 30 to 432 of the family's 1831-position model. The record is from RNAcentral. Lineage: Eukaryota; Choanoflagellata.